This 294-nucleotide ribosomal RNA is filed under the name uncultured bacterium. Its description in RNAcentral is "partial 16S ribosomal RNA". It matches the Rfam family "Bacterial small subunit ribosomal RNA", at positions 333 to 643 of the family's 1533-position model. The record is from RNAcentral.
GGGCACCUACGGGGCGCAGCAGUGGGGAAUAUUGCACAAUGGGGGAAACCCUGAUGCAGCAACGCCGCGUGAGUGAGGAAGUAUUUCGGUAUGUAAAGCUCUCUCAGCAGGGAAUAGAAAAGAAGGUACCUGAAAAAGAAGCCCUGGCUAACUACGUGCCAGCAGCCGCGGUAAUACGUAGGGGGCAAGCGUUAUCCGGAUUUACUGGGGGUAAAGGGAGCGUAGACGGAAAGGCAAGUCAGAAGUGAAAGCCCAAGGCUCAACCAUGGGACUGCUUUUGAAACUGUCAAACUA